UUUGAGCAUGUGUAAUGGCAUGAAUGCGUUAAGCUGUUGUUUUAGUGUUCUUUUGAUGAGUUUGGCUUGUUGUUAUGAAAAGUGUUUGUUUUGGCGAGUUUGAACGGUUUUUGAGCAUGUGUAAUGGCAUGAAUGUGUUGAAUUAGUAAUCCCUUGUGUUAAGCUGUUGUUUUAGUGUUCUUUUGAUGAGUUUGGCUUGUUAUGAAAAGUUUUUGUUUUGGCCAGUUUGAACGUUUUUGAGCAUGUGUAAUGGCAUGAAUGCGUUAAGCUGUUGUUUUAGUGUUCUUUUGAUGAGUUUGGCUUGUUAUGAAAAGUUUUUGUUUUGGCCAGUUUGAACGUUUUUGAGCAUGUGUAAUGGCAUGAAUGCGUUAAGCUGUUGUUUUAGUGUUCUUUUGAUGAGUUUGGCUUGUUGUUAUGAAAAGUGUUUGUUUUGGUGAGUUUGAACGUUUUUGAGCAUGUGUAAUGGCAUGAAUGCGUUAAGCUGUUGUUUUAGUGUUCUUUUGAUGAGUUUGGCUUGUUGUUAUGAAAAGUUUUGUUUUGGCCAGUUUGAACGUUUUUGAGCAUGUGUAAUGGCAUGAAUGCGUUAAGCUGUUGUUUUAGUGUUCUUUUGAUGAGUUUGGCUUGUUGUUAUGAACAUUGUUCGUUUUGGCAGUUUGAACGUUUUUUAGCAUGUGUAAUGGCAUGAAUUGUUGAAUUAGUAAUCCCUGUGUAAGCCGUUGUUUUAGUGUUCUUUUGAUGAGUUUGGCUUGUUGUUAUGAAAAGUGUUUGUUUUGGUGAGUUUGAACGUUUUUGAGCAUGUGUAAUGGCAUGAAUGCGUUAAGCUGUUGUUUUAGUGUUCUUUUGAUGAGUUUGGCUUGUUGUUAUGAAAAGUUUUUGUUUUGGCCAGUUUGAACGUUUUUGAGCAUGUGUAAUGGCAUGAAUGCGUUAAGCUGUUGUUUUAGUGUUCUUUUGAUGAGUUUGGCUUGUUUGAAAAGUUUUGUUUUGGCCAGUUUGAACGUUUUUGAGCAUGUGUAAUGGCAUGAAUGCGUUAAGCUGUUGUUUUAGUGUUCUUUUGAUGAGUUUGGCUUGUUGUUAUGAAAAGUUUUUGUUUUGGCCAGUUUGAACGUUUUUGAGCAUGUGUAAUGGCAUGAAUGCGUUAAGCUGUUGUUUUAGUGUUCUUUUGAUGAGUUUGGCUUGUUGUUAUGAACAUUGUUCGUUUUGGCCAGUUUGAAGGUUUUUUAGCAUGUGUAAUGGCAUGAAUGUUGAAUUAGUAAUCCCUUGUUAAGCUGUUGUUUUAGUGUUCUUUUGAUGAGUUUGGCUUGUUGUUAUGAAAAGUGUUUGUUUUGGCGAGUUUGAACAUUUUUGAGCAUGUGUAAUGGCAUGAAUGCGUUAAGCUGUUGUUUUAGUGUUCUUUUGAUGAGUUUGGCUUGUUGUUAUGAAAAGUGUUUGUUUUGGCGAGUUUGAAGGUUUUUGAGCAUGUGUAAUGGCAUGAAUGCGUUAAGCUGUUGUUUUAGUGUUCUUUUGAUGAGUUUGGCUUGUUGUUAUGAACAUUGUUCGUUUUGGCCAGUUUGAAGGUUUUUGAGCAUGUGUAAUGGCAUGAAUGCGUUAAGCUGUUGUUUUAGUGUUCUUUUGAUGAGUUUGGCUUGUUGUUAUGAAAAGUGUUUGUUUUGGCGAGUUUGAACGUUUUUGAGCAUGUGUAAUGGCAUGAAUGCGUUAAGCUGUUGUUUUAGUGUUCUUUUGAUGAGUUUGGCUUGUUGUUAUGAAAAGUGUUUGUUUUGGCGAGUUUGAACGUUUUUGAGCAUGUGUAAUGGCAUGAAUGUGUUGAAUUAGUAAUCCCUUGUGUUAAGCUGUUGUUUUAGUGUUCUUUUGAUGAGUUUGGCUUUUUGUUAUGAAAAGUUUUUGUUUUGGCCAGUUUGAACGUUUUUGAGCAUGUGUAAUGGCAUGAAUGCGUUAAGCUGUUGUUUUAGUGUUCUUUUGAUGAGUUUGGCUUGUUGUUAUGAAAAGUUUUGUUUUGGCCAGUUUGAACGUUUUUGAGCAUGUGUAAUGGCAUGAAUGCGUUAAGCUGUUGUUUUAGUGUUCUUUUGAUGAGUUUGGCUUGUUGUUAUGAAAAGUGUUUGUUUUGGUGAGUUUGAACGUUUUUGAGCAUGUGUAAUGGCAUGAAUGCGUUAAGCUGUUGUUUUAGUGUUCUUUUGAUGAGUUUGGCUUGUUGUUAUGAAAAGUUUUUGUUUUGGCCAGUUUGAACGUUUUUGAGCAUGUGUAAUGGCAUGAAUGCGUUAAGCUGUUGUUUUAGUGUUCUUUUGAUGAGUUUGGCUUGUUGUUAUGAACAUUGUUCGUUUUGAUCAGUUUGAAGGUUUUUUAGCAUGUGUAAUGGCAUGAAUAUGUUGAAUUAGUAAUCCCAUGUUAAGCUGUUGUUUUAGUGUUCUUUUGAUGAGUUUGGCUUGUUGUUAUGAAAAGUGUUUGUUUUGGUGAGUUUGAACGUUUUUGAGCAUGUGUAAUGGCAUGAAUGCGUUAAGCUGUUGUUUUAGUGUUCUUUUGAUGAGUUUGGCUUGUUGUUAUGAAAAGUUUUUGUUUUGGCCAGUUUGAACGUUUUUGAGCAUGUGUAAUGGCAUGAAUGCGUUAAGCUGUUGUUUUAGUGUUCUUUUGAUGAGUUUGGCUUGUUGUUAUGAAAAGUUUUUGUUUUGGCCAGUUUGAACGUUUUUGAGCAUGUGUAAUGGCAUGAAUGCGUUAAGCUGUUGUUUUAGUGUUCUUUUGAUGAGUUUGGCUUGUUGUUAUGAAAAGUUUUUGUUUUGGCCAGUUUGAACGUUUUUGAGCAUGUGUAAUGGCAUGAAUGCAUUAAGCUGUUGUUUUAGUGUUCUUUUGAUGAGUUUGGCUUGUUGUUAUGAACAUUGUUCGUUUUGGCAAGUUUGAAGGUUUUUUAGCAUGUGUAAUGGCAUGAAUAUGUUGAAUUAGUAAUCCCUUGUGUAAAGCCGUUGUUUUAGUGUUCUUUUGAUGAGUUUGGCUUGUUGUUAUGAAAAGUGUUUGUUUUGGCGAGUUUGAACGUUUUUGAGCAUGUGUAAUGGCAUGAAUGCGUUAAGCUGUUGUUUUAGUGUUCUUUUGAUGAGUUUGGCUUGUUGUUAUGAAAAGUGUUUGUUUUGGCGAGUUUGAACGUUUUUGAGCAUGUGUAAUGGCAUGAAUGCGUUAAGCUGUUGUUUUAGUGUUCUUUUGAUGAGUUUGGCUUGUUGUUAUGAAAAGUUUUUGUUUUGGUCAGUUUGAACGUUUUUGAGCAUGUGUAAUGGCAUGAAUGCAUUAAGCUGUUGUUUUAGUGUUCUUUUGAUGAGUUUGGCUUGUUGUUAUGAACAUUGUUCGUUUUGGCAGUUUGAAGGUUUUUGAGCAUGUGUAAUGGCAUGAAUUGUUGAAUUAGUAAUCCCUGUGUAAGCUGUUGUUUUAGUGUUCUUUUGAUGAGUUUGGCUUGUUGUUAUGAAAAGUGUUUGUUUUGGUGAGUUUGAACGUUUUUGAGCAUGUGUAAUGGCAUGAAUGCGUUAAGCUGUUGUUUUAGUGUUCUUUUGAUGACUUUGGCUUGUUGUUAUGAACAUUGUUCGUUUUGAUCAGGUUGAAGGUUUUUUAGCAUGUGUAAUGGCAUGAAUAUGUUGAAUUAGUAAUCCCUUGUGUAAAGCCGUUGUUUUAGUGUUCUUUUGAUGAGUUUGGCUUGUUGUUAUGAAACGUGUUUGUUUUGGCGAGUUUGAACGUUUUUGAGCAUGUGUAAUGGCAUGAAUGCGUUAAGCUGUUGUUUUAGUUUUCUUUUGAUGAGUUUGGCUUGUUGUUAUGAAAAGUGUUUCUUUGGGCGAGUUUGAACGUUUUUGAGCAUGUGUAAUGGCAUGAAUGCGUUAAGCUGUUGUUUUAGUGUUCUUUUGAUGAGUUUGGCUUGUUGUUAUGAAAAGAGUUUGUUUUGGCGAGUUUGAACGUUUUUGAGCAUGUGUAAUGGCAUGAAUGUGUUGAAUUAGUAAUCCCUUGUGUAAAGCUGUUGUUUUAGUGUUCUUUUGAUGAGUUUGGCUUGUUGUUAUGAAAAGUUGUUGUUUUGGCGAGUUUGAACGUUUUUGAGCAUGUGUAAUGGCAUGAAUGCGUUAAGCUGUUGUUUUAGUGUUCUUUUGAUGAGUUUGGCUUGUUGUUAUGAAAAGUGUUUGUUUUGGCGAGUUUGAACGUUUUUGAGCAUGUGUAAUGGCAUGAAUGCGUUAAGCUGUUGUUUUAGUGUUCUUUUGAUGAGUUUGGCUUGUUGUUAUGAACAUUGUUCGUUUUGGCCAGUUUGAAGGUUUUUGAGCAUGUGUAAUGGCAUGAAUGUGUUGAAUUAGUAAUCCCAUGUGUAAAGCCGUUGUUUUAGUGUUCUUUUGAUGAGUUUGGCUUGUUGUUAUGAAAAGUGUUUGUUUUGGUGAGUUUGAACGUUUUUGAGCAUGUGUAAUGGCAUGAAUGCGUUAAGCUGUUGUUUUAGUGUUCUUUUGAUGAGUUUGGCUUGUUGUUAUGAAAAGUUUUUGUUUUGGCCAGUUUGAACGUUUUUGAGCAUGUGUAAUGGCAUGAAUGCGUUAAGCUGUUGUUUUAGUGUUCUUUUGAUGAGUUUGGCUUGUUAUGAAAAGUUUUUGUUUUGGCCAGUUUGAACGUUUUUGAGCAUGUGUAAUGGCAUGAAUGCGUUAAGCUGUUGUUUUAGUGUUCUUUUGAUGAGUUUGGCUUGUUAUGAAAAGUUUUUGUUUUGGCCAGUUUGAACGUUUUUGAGCAUAUGUAAUGGCAUGAAUGCAUUAAGAUGUUGUUUUAGUGUUCUUUUGAUGAGUUUGGAUUGUUGUUAUGAACAUUGUUCGUUUUGAUCAGGUUGAAGGUUUUUUAGCAUGUGUAAUGGCAUGAAUAUGUUGAAUUAGUAAUCCCUUGUGUAAAGCCGUUGUUUUAGUGUUCUUUUGAUGAGUUUGGCUUGUUGUUAUGAAAAGUGUUUGUUUUGGCGAGUUUGAACGUUUUUGAGCAUGUGUAAUGGCAUGAAUGUGUUGAAUUAGUAAUCCCUUGUGUUAAGCUGUUGUUUUAGUGUUCUUUUGAUGAGUUUGGCUUGUUGUUAUGAAAAGUGAUUGUUUUGGCGAGUUUGAACGUUUUUGAGCAUGUGUAAUGGCAUGAAUGCGUUAAGCUGUUGUUUUAGUGUUCUUUUGAUGAGUUUGGCUUGUUGUUAUGAAAAGUGUUUGUUUUGGCGAGUUUGAACGUUUUUGAGCAUGUGUAAUGGCAUGAAUGUGUUGAAUUAGUAAUCCCUUGUGUUAAGCUGUUGUUUUAGUGUUCUUUUGAUGAGUUUGGCUUGUUGUUAUGAAAAGUGUUUGUUUUGGCGAGUUUGAACGUUUUUGAGCAUGUGUAAUGGCAUGAAUGCGUUAAGCUGUUGUUUUAGUGUUCUUUUGAUGAGUUUGGCUUGUUGUUAUGAAAAGUGUUUGUUUUGGCAGUUUGAACGUUUUUGAGCAUGUGUAAUGGCAUGAAUGCGUUAAGCUGUUGUUUUAGUGUUCUUUUGAUGAGUUUGGCUUGUUGUUAUGAAAAGUGUUUGUUUUGGCCAGUUUGAACGUUUUUGAGCAUGUGUAAUGGCAUGAAUGCGUUAAGCUGUUGUUUUAGUGUUCUUUUGAUGAGUUUGGCUUGUUGUUAUGAACAUUGUUCGUUUUGGCCAGUUUGAAGGUUUUUGAGCAUGUGUAAUGGCAUGAAUGUGUUGAAUUAGUAAUCCCUUGUGUAAGCUGUUGUUUUAGUGUUCUUUUGAUGAGUUUGGCUUGUUGUUAUGAAAAGUGUUUGUUUUGGCGAGUUUGAACGUUUUUGAGCAUGUGUAAUGGCAUGAAUGCGUUAAGCUGUUGUUUUAGUGUUCUUUUGAUGAGUUUGGCUUGUUGUUUGAACAUUGUUCGUUUUGAUCAGGUUGAAGGUUUUUUAGCAUGUGUAAUGGCAUGAAUAUGUUGAAUUAGUAAUCCCAUGUGUAAAGCCG
This 5932-nucleotide long non-coding RNA is filed under the name Xyrichtys novacula (pearly razorfish). The record is from RNAcentral. Lineage: Eukaryota; Metazoa; Chordata; Actinopteri; Labriformes; Labridae.